CAGAAAGGAUGUUUUUUUUAUUUUAUAAAUCGAAUGGGCUUGAACCCAAAGACAAAGGGUGCGACUUAACAGAAAGGAGGGGUGCCAGAGAAGAAUAGUUUUUGUUUCUAUGUUUUUGUUGGUUUUGCCCAGGCCCAAUGCUCUCCACAUUCAGAAACUCAGAAAAUCAGGGGUUCUUCCCCUCCAAUUCAUUUCAAACGCUCAACAUUCUUUCUCUCUCUGAAGGGUUUGCCUCUCUGGAGCCCACGCACACCACCGCCUCUGUCAGCCACCGUAACGGCCCUCUGGCUCCGUCCAAACCGUCACCGGCAUAGCGGACGCCACUGGAACCAUGGCCGGCCACGACGUCACCGUCCCUUUUCCUCUCUUGCUUCGUCCUAGGAUUGGGGGUUCCACCCUUGAGCACUGCCGGCCACCAUUGCUUCGAACCCAUCCACCGCGCCACCAGCAUCACGGUCUCGUCAUCGUCAUUCCUCUCUUCUACGAGACCCAACCCUUGGUUGGGUUUACAUCCUUACAGUAUUGUCGUCAUCUCCUUUCUAAACUAUCACAACCUUAAGGUAAAUCCCUCUCCUCUCACGCAGACCUUGCUUCCGCUCUCUCAACCGCGACUCAAAGGCCACCACCCCCGAUUGAUUCUCCUAUUCCCUUAUUUUCUGUUUUGAUUGGGUUGGUUUCCUAAUGGGUGCAUUGAUGAUUUCAUGAUCGAGACUAUUAAAGAUAAGGGUUAAAAUGGUCUGAAGUUGACGAGGGUGACGAAACUAUUAUGUUUUUGUUCUUGUAGGGAAGUGACCUUGGACCUUUGGUAAUACGAUAUGAAUUUGGAUCUCGGUGAGGGGUGAUACCGGUGGGAUGAUAAGGAUGUUAUGGAGUUGACCCGAUCAAACAAAGAGAACACUAUGUAGAUGAUGACAGAUUAACUGGAAUAGAAAUUACCUUGAAAAACUGAUUUUCUGAUUGGUGUAGUUUUCUCCCUAUGUUUGUGAUUUUGUGCCAUGCAGGUUAAGGAUAAUGGUGUUAAUGGGGUUCUAUGUGAUGGGUUGCAGAGAUGAACUCGGCUGGAGGGUCUGUGCGUGAGGGAGAAUGGUGGUGGUGAUGCUGGGUAAGGGUGAAAAUCAUUAACAAAAGGCAAAGACGCAGACAGAGGUUUCCGGUCAAAGAGGGAGUAUGAUAUGCAUAGGCGGAUAAUGAAGAAAGGGGAAUACUCACACCAUGAUACAAUCUCAAACCGUGCAACAUCAAGUAUAAUAUAAAGCACAAUGCAGCAAGCUUACAUGAUGAUACAAACGAACAGAGUAAGCUUACCUCUUAAAGCUAUGCUUGCUACUGUUAGCCUAGUACCUCCAGCGACCUCCUCCCUUCUUUUGGCUGGCUUCGUUUUCCUCUGCAGUUGAAGAUGUUCUCUCCUAAGCUGUGAUGAUGAAUGGCAGCUGCCGCCACAGAUAACGGAUGAUGGUCGAAGAUGACGACAAAUAGAGGUUGCUUAUUUUGCCGAGGUCGUGAGAUGUUAGACGCAACCAGCGGAAACAAGAAGGUCAAGUUGAAGUUGGGUGGGAGAAAAAAAUGGUUUCCUGGUGGUGAUGUGCCUGAUGGAUCAAGAAAUGCCUUUCUGUUUUGUGAAUCUUGAAUCCAUGGUAGCUUGAGAGUAGUGCAUGUGUGAGGGAGGAUGGUUUCUGUUGAGUGAAUGGAGUUGAGAGUCGUGUGAGGUGAAUGAUAGAUGCGGUUCGAAGUCCUCCUCUUUCUCCCCUGCAUAUCUGUGCUAAUAAGAUACUUGAAAACUUUGUUUCUGCUAUGAAAUUUCUUUUCAAAGUCAAUGACAUGUUUGUCAAA
Molecule: long non-coding RNA, 1830 nt
Organism: Vigna radiata var. radiata (mung bean)
Lineage: Eukaryota; Viridiplantae; Streptophyta; Magnoliopsida; Fabales; Fabaceae
Exons: 2
Source: RefSeq, a predicted model, not a curated record